GCUCCGGUGGCCUAGUGGUUAGAGUGUCCGGUCUCGGAUGCGGGAGGUCGUGGGUUCGAUCCCCGGCCGAGUCA
Non-coding RNA from Potamilus streckersoni, 74 nucleotides. The record is from the annotation of a GenBank genome assembly. Lineage: Eukaryota; Metazoa; Mollusca; Bivalvia; Unionida; Unionidae.